UAACGCGUACACAACAUACCAUAUACUGGAGUAUAGCUUUGGGAAACUGAAGGUAAUCCUCCAUAACAUUGCGAGAGGGCAUCUGAUUGCAAUUAAAGUUCCGGCGGUAUAUGAUUGGUGUGCGUUUGAUUAGCUAGUUGGUAGGGUAACGGCCUACCAAGGCGACGAUCAAUAGCUGGCGUGAGAGCGCGACCAGCCACACUGGAACUGAGACACGGUCCAGACUCCUACGGGAGGCAGCAGUAGGGAAUAUUGGACAAUGGGCGAAAGCCUGAUCCAGCCAUGCCGCGUGAUAGAUGAAGGCCCUCUGGGUUGUAAAUAUCUUUUAUCUGGGAAGAAACUCCUCUAUUCUUAGAGGCCUGACGGUACCAGAGGAAUAAGCACCGGCUAACUCCGUG
Molecule: ribosomal RNA, 398 nt
Filed under: uncultured bacterium
Lineage: Bacteria
Description: bacterial SSU rRNA
Rfam family: Bacterial small subunit ribosomal RNA
Source: RNAcentral